GACGAACGCUGGCGGCGUGCUUAACACAUGCAAGUCGAACGAAGUGGCGAACGGGUGAGUAACGCGUAAUCAACCUGCCCUUCAGAGGGGGACAACAGUUGGAAACGACUGCUAAUACCGCAUACUGCAGGGUGGGAUUGCGUCUGAUAGGCAAGUUGGAGGGGUAACGGCCCACCAAGGCGAUGAUCAGUAGCCGGGCUGAGAGGAUGAACGGCCACAUUGGGACUGAGACACGGCCCAGACUCCUACGGGAGGCAGCAGUGGGGAAUCUUCCGCAAUGGACGGAAGUCUGACGGAGCAACGCCGCGUGAGUGAUGACGGUCGUCGGGUUGUAAAGCUCUGUUAAUCGGGACGCGGUACCUGAAUAGAAAGCCACGGCUAACUACGUGCCAGCAGCCGCGGUAAUUC
This 408-nucleotide ribosomal RNA is filed under the name uncultured bacterium. Its description in RNAcentral is "partial 16S ribosomal RNA". It matches the Rfam family "Bacterial small subunit ribosomal RNA", at positions 28 to 526 of the family's 1533-position model. The record is from RNAcentral.